Molecule: ribosomal RNA, 583 nt
Filed under: uncultured bacterium
Lineage: Bacteria
Description: bacterial SSU rRNA
Rfam family: Bacterial small subunit ribosomal RNA
Source: RNAcentral
CCUACGGGAGGCAGCAGUGGGGAAUUUUGGACAAUGGGCGCAAGCCUGAUCCAGCAAUGCCGCGUGAGUGAAGAAGGCCUUCGGGUUGUAAAGCUCUUUUGUCAGGGAAGAAACGGUGGAGGUUAAUACCUUCUGCUAAUGACGGUACCUGAAGAAUAAGCACCGGCUAACUACGUGCCAGCAGCCGCGGUAAUACGUAGGGUGCAAGCGUUAAUCGGAAUUACUGGGCGUAAAGCGUGCGCAGGCGGUUGUGCAAGACAGAUGUGAAAUCCCCGGGCUCAACCUGGGAAUUGCAUUUGUGACUGUACGGCUAGAGUGUGUCAGAGGGGGGUAGAAUUCCACGUGUAGCAGUGAAAUGCGUAGAGAUGUGGAGGAAUACCGAUGGCGAAGGCAGCCCCCUGGGAUAACACUGACGCUCAUGCACGAAAGCGUGGGGAGCAAACAGGAUUAGAUACCCUGGUAGUCCACGCCCUAAACGAUGUCUACUAGUUGUCGGGUCUUUAUUGACUUGGUAACGCAGCUAACGCGUGAAGUAGACCGCCUGGGGAUACGGUCGCAGAUUAAAACUCAAAUGAAUUGACGG